This 500-nucleotide ribosomal RNA is filed under the name uncultured bacterium. RNAcentral describes it as "partial 16S ribosomal RNA". It matches the Rfam family "Bacterial small subunit ribosomal RNA", at positions 30 to 523 of the family's 1533-position model. The record is from RNAcentral.
AUUGAACGCUGGCGGAAUGCUUUACACAUGCAAGUCGAACGGCAGCACGGACUUCGGUCUGGUGGCGAGUGGCGAACGGGUGAGUAAUGGAUCGGAACGUGCCCAGUCGUGGGGGAUAACGUAGUGAAAAUUACGCUAAUACCGCAUACGAUCUAUGGAUGAAAGCGGGGGAUCGCAAGAUCUCGCGCGAUUGGAGCGGCCGAUAUCAGAUUAGGUAGUUGGUGGGGUAAAGGCCCACCAAGCCAACGAUCUGUAGCUGGUCUGAGAGGACGACCAGCCACACUGGAACUGAGACACGGUCCAGACUCCUACGGGAGGCAGCAGUGGGGAAUUUUGGACAAUGGGCGAAAGCCUGAUCCAGCCAUUCCGCGUGCAGGAUGAAGGCCCUCGGGUUGUAAACUGCUUUUGUACAGAACGAAAAGGUUUCUACUAAUACUAGGAGCUCAUGACGGUACUGUAAGAAUAAGCACCGGCUAACUACGUGCCAGCCGCCGCGGUAA